AUGUCCGAUGUAGUGAAGUUGAGAUUUUACUAUGGUCCUGGUACUGUCCAAACAAAUGAGUUGGGAGCAGAUCUGAGUGAAUUUACUCACAUAGAGGUGGCAAUCAGCGCACCACAAACAUGGUCUGUUAGUCAGUUGAAAGAAUGGAUUGCGGCAAGUUUAGGUCUUGAUACUGAAACACACACCGUCGGUGUUCAUGCAUUGUGGACACGGUCAAGUUCAAAAAUUUACUUUUAUUUGAGGCCAAUAGAGGGAGACUCCGAUUGGGUGCGGUGGUUACAAGGUUGUGAACGAAGGGGAUGCAAUCCUGUUGCUUUAGUGCUUCCCGUCGUGAAGGAGGUCACUGCACAUGAAGGGGAGGGUGGCUACGAAGGACAGAGCAGUCAUGUAGAAGAAGGAAAUGCUUAUGGUUACGAACAAGGACAGAGCAGUCAGGUAGAAGGAGGAAAUGCUUAUGGUUAUGAACCAGGGCAGAGUAGUCAGGUAGAAGGAGGAAAUGCCGAUGGUGAUUACAAUGGCGAGGUGGACGCUGACGAGGUAGAUGGGCACAUGCAGAACCAGAUGGAAGAAGAAGACACCGAUGUUGAAAGGGGUCAUGCCGAUGAUUCUGACGAGUCAGAUGAAGAAGAAAAUGCAGAGGAGGUCCCGAAUCCUGCAUGGUGGAAUCAUGACUUAUCAUCUGCAAUGACCGUGAAUGAUGGACAUGAUUCGGCCUGGCAAUAUCACCAGAACAAUAUUGCGACGGGUGCUAUGUAUCCGAACAAGCAAGCCCUGAAGGAUGCAAUAAUUAAUUGGGCAAUGUCCACGCAAAGGGUUUUCAAAGCUGAGGUGUCCAGUCAGAAAUUCCUCACAAUGGUAUGCAAGAACGCAGAUUGUCCCGCAAGGGUGCACGGCUUUCUCCCUAAGUAUGGCACAAGUUGGGUGAUAAGUGACUUAGUUAAUCACACUUGUCUUAUUCCCUGCAUCCCUCAAGAUCAUGCCAACCUUUCAUCCACGCUUAUUGCUCGACUGUUUUACGAUGAGAUAGUGCAAGGCAAAGCUAUGGAAGUGAAGGCAGUGCAGACAAAAGUGUUCGCCAGGUUGAAGUAUAGAAUUUCUUAUGGCAAGGCUUGGAGGGCUAAGCAUGCAGCGCUUGAGAGGAGAUUUGGUUCUUAUUUUGAUGCAUAUGACUCUGUUGUCCACCUCCUCCACACCCUGCAGCAGCGGAAUCCAGGCACCUAUAUCGAUAUCCAAGACAUGUUCAUGCCAGAGUUCCCAACUGUGAGGGUUUUGCAUCGUCUCUUCUUCUCUUUCGGUGUAUGCAUCGAAGCUUUCAGGCAUUGCCGACCGGUGAUAUGUGUUGACGGUACUUUUCUCACAGGCAAGUACAAGGGUCAGAUCCUGACAGCCAUAGGUCAAGACGGCCAAAAUCAAGUCGUCCCACUGGCAUUUGCUUUUGUGGAGAGUGAGAACACUGAAAGUUGGACAUGGUUCUUCAGGCAGUUGAAAAUAUCAGUUGUUAAGGAGAAGCCCAAUGUGUGCAUCCUUCAUGACAGGCAUGCAGGUAUACUCAGUGCGAUAAGGACACUGACAAACCCAAGCCCUGAGGAACAAGUUCCAUGGCAGGACUUGCAGAGCCGUUGGUGCAUGCGCCAUCUCGGGGCUAAUUUCUUCUCGCAGUUUAGAAAUAAGAACCUGAUGAAUCUGUUCAAAAAACUCUGCAAGCAGAACCAGUUAUGGAAGUAUAAUUUGAUACGCGACAGACUUAAUGUGUGCACGCAGAGACACGUGAGGGACAGGAAAGCUGCAAGAGAUGCAGCGGUGAGGGCACAUGUUGAAGCAGUAGCUGCACAGUUGGCAACAGGAACAGCGGCCGUGGAGGAGGAGGCUGUUGGGCUAUGUGACCUGCCAGGCUUUGACCCACCUGGUACUAGGAGAAGGCUCGGGAGGUCGAUUAAAACCUUCGAGCAGUGGAUAGAGCAUGAGCCUCUGCAGAGGUGGUCUUUGCUACAUGACACACAUGGAUCAAGGUACGGUGUCAUGACAACGAACCUCGCGGAAACAUACAACUUUGUCCUCAGAGGAAACCGGGCAUUGCCACUUACAGCCAUCGUUGAGGGUAUUUUCUAUGGCACCGUCAAGUAUUUCAGAGACAGACGUCAAAUAGCAGAGCAACAUAUCUUGAACAACCCAAAUACACGGUACUGUGAAAGAGUCACGAAGUACAUGGACAACAAGAUGCAAAAAGCUAGGUCACACACUGUAGUCGCCAUCGGUAAUCAAGAAAGAAGGUUUGAGGUCCGCUUAGCCAACAACAAAUUCGGAUGUGCAAAUGAGUUGAGGACGCAUGAGGUGAAAAUUGGCAAUGAAGCCUAG
RNAcentral lists this ribosomal RNA (2355 nucleotides) under Triticum aestivum (bread wheat). RNAcentral describes it as "partial small subunit ribosomal RNA". Lineage: Eukaryota; Viridiplantae; Streptophyta; Magnoliopsida; Poales; Poaceae. The record is from RNAcentral.